UACAUGGGGUGCAAACGUUGCUCGGAAUUAUUGGGCGUAAAGCGCACGUAGGCGGUUCGUUAAGUCGGACGUGAAAGCCCUCGGCUCAACCGAGGAAGUGCAUCCGAAACUGGCGAGCUAGAGUACGAAAGAGGGUCGCGGAAUUCCCGGUGUAGAGGUGAAAUUCGUAGAUAUCGGGAGGAACACCAGCGGCGAAGGCGGGCUUCUGGACGGUGACUGACACUGAGACGCGAAAGCGUGGGGAGCAAACAGG
This 253-nucleotide ribosomal RNA is filed under the name uncultured bacterium. Its description in RNAcentral is "partial 16S ribosomal RNA". It matches the Rfam family "Bacterial small subunit ribosomal RNA", at positions 524 to 776 of the family's 1533-position model. The record is from RNAcentral.